Non-coding RNA from Taeniopygia guttata (zebra finch), 369 nucleotides. NCBI's taxonomy places the organism in Eukaryota, Metazoa, Chordata, Aves, Passeriformes, Estrildidae. The record is from RefSeq and is a predicted model, not a curated record.
CCCACGGUUCAGCCUGCAAACGCUGUGACCCUGUGCAGUGACCUGCCCGGCACCCGGCUGCUGCCAGCCGCUGCUGCCUGUGUGCGGGCAGGGCUGUGGCCCCAGGAGCUCCCCCAGCCCUCUUCUCUCACCCUCCUUAGGCAGCUGCCAGUCCCUUUCACGUGCCUGUCCUGUGACCGCAUGCUCACCGUGCAGGUCCCUGGCCAGUACCCCGAGACACUCCCGUAUUUGCCGCCGCUACCCCCCAGCAAGGAGCCACCGCACAGCCAAAGGAGGCCGGUGGCCCAUGGCAGGUUCCCCCGUGUGCCACCGAGCUCUGGGGACCAUCAGAACAGCAGCUCCACAACGCAGAACAUCAGGGCUUCCCUA